ACAUGAUUCAACGCAUGCUUCCACUCUUUCUUAGCGUUUCGCAGGCGAGACCCUAAAGCGGGGCCGGGUCCCCCCCAGGGCUGAGCGGCGGGGGGGGGUCCCGGGCCGGGCCGUCCGCGCAUGCGCACCUGAGGCUUCGCCGUCGCGGGGNNNNNNNNNNNNNNNNNNNNNNNNNNNNNNNNNNNNNNNNNNNNNNNNNNCGGCCUAGGCCGCACGGACACGGCAGGGUGCGCAGGCACCCCACGGCCACGCAUCGCCGGGUUUCGGGCUGCACGCUCACCCUGCACACGGGUGUUCCUGCUGUUGCGGUAUGUGGAUGCUCAGCAGCCAGGUAUCCCUCCAAGAUCAGGGUGUGCAGCUACUCCGCAUCCCAACUCCACCAAGCAACAGGGUGCGUGGCCACCCCGCAUCUCGUGGCCUGUGGUGUUGGGGUGCGUGGCUGCACACACAGCACCCCCCUCGCUGUCGGGACGUGCAGCCACCCCACGCUCUCAGCGUCUGGCUGCACCCCUGCCCAACAGCCGUGUUUCCCCCCAGUGUCAGGGUGCAUGGCUGAGCACCCCAGCAUCUGCCUGCCUUCACGAUGCAGAGCUACCAUGGACCCCAGCACGUCUGUGCACCCCUGGGGUGUCAGGGCACCUGUAUUCACACUGCACAUAGCAGCUGGGACACCCCCAGGUGUCCGGGCACAUGGACAAGCACAUCCGUCGGGUUUUGGGGUGCAGACAUUUGCAUGCUCACGUCUGAUGUGUGAAAGGUCAGACACACACACACCUCCUGGGUGGCAGGGGUGCACACGCACAGCUCGUGGGGCACAGCUGUGGACACGUGUGUCUUGGGCGUAGGAAGCAGACACACACGCUCCCUGGGUGUUAGAGACACAGAAGCAGCCAAGCUGGGAUGGGUCUACACACAGUUUUUCCGUACUUUCUUUGAAAUGGGGAAAGCUGCUGUCUCAAGCCUCAGAAUGGGCAGUGGCUCCUGUGAAGACUAAAGGCAUCACUGCAAGCUGCUGUUUAAAACAGGAACGGGUAGAGUUGUGUAGAGGAUAUGUUGUGAGAUUUUAUGUGCCUGUUUUGGUGUUUUUUUUCAUUUCAAAUAAACUUUGACAUCGGUUUAGACCACAGAUCAAAAACUGUCAGGUUUUUU
Molecule: long non-coding RNA, 1149 nt
Filed under: Athene cunicularia (burrowing owl)
Lineage: Eukaryota; Metazoa; Chordata; Aves; Strigiformes; Strigidae
Description: lncRNA (ENSACUG00000008555.1)
Source: RNAcentral